AUUUGAUAUUUUUUAAAAAAAAUAAUAUACUACCGCUUCAUUCAUUCAAAAGUAGAAUUACAUGCAGUUAGAGACAAUCGGACAUCAUAGAAAAAGAUGAAAAAAAAAUCUACUCAACACAGUAAAUUAAAGUUCUACAGAUUUCUCAGAGAACGAGCCUCCACCAUUAUUUGACUCGUGGUGUGCUUCUUUUUUUUCAAAAAUGCUUUUAUUGUGGCUCCAGCCAAAUAAUUCACCACGAAAAGGCUAUUGUCGCUAACUCUCUACCCCCUAAUUAAGGCGCCACCU
Molecule: long non-coding RNA, 288 nt
Filed under: Ananas comosus (pineapple)
Lineage: Eukaryota; Viridiplantae; Streptophyta; Magnoliopsida; Poales; Bromeliaceae
Description: long non-coding RNA (ACOM_LNC038734)
Source: RNAcentral